RNAcentral lists this long non-coding RNA (214 nucleotides) under Lathyrus oleraceus (garden pea). RNAcentral's name for it is "Pisum sativum (pea) long non-coding RNA (PSAT_LNC009450)". The record is from RNAcentral. Lineage: Eukaryota; Viridiplantae; Streptophyta; Magnoliopsida; Fabales; Fabaceae.
AAGAUGGUGUCUCAAACAAGUCCUACAAAUUGAAAGAAUGAUUAAUUUUUAUUAACAAGUAAGGUAUUAAAAUAAAAGUUGAGAAAAUAAAAAAUGUUAUUAUUUUCUUUUAGCAAUAAUAUCUUACCAUAUAUUUUACAUGUACUUAUAUGUAUAUAUAUAAAAAAUUGAAAUAAAUAAACAAAGUAAUAAACCAAAAAAAUAAAUAAUAAAA